UGGGGAAUUUUGGACAAUGGGGGCAACCCUGAUCCAGCCAUGCCGCGUGAGUGAAGAAGGCCUUCGGGUUGUAAAGCUCUUUCGGCCGGGAAGAAAUCGCAUCUCCUAAUACGGGGUGUGGAUGACGGUACCGGACUAAGAAGCACCGGCUAACUACGUGC
Molecule: ribosomal RNA, 161 nt
Filed under: uncultured bacterium
Lineage: Bacteria
Description: partial 16S ribosomal RNA
Rfam family: Bacterial small subunit ribosomal RNA
Source: RNAcentral